GCCUUAGUAGCUUAAAUUAAAGCACCGGUCUUGUAAUCCGAAGAUCGGAGGUUAAACCCCUCCCUAAAGCC
This 71-nucleotide transfer RNA is filed under the name Rasbora lacrimula. RNAcentral's name for it is "tRNA-Thr". It matches the Rfam family "tRNA". From Rfam's summary of the family: Transfer RNA (tRNA) molecules are approximately 80 nucleotides in length. Their secondary structure includes four short double-helical elements and three loops (D, anti-codon, and T loops). Further hydrogen bonds mediate the characteristic L-shaped molecular structure. tRNAs have two regions of fundamental functional importance: the anti-codon, which is responsible for specific mRNA codon recognition, and the 3' end, to which the tRNAs corresponding amino acid is attached (by aminoacyl-tRNA synthetases). tRNAs cope with the degeneracy of the genetic code in two manners: having more than one tRNA (with a specific anti-codon) for a particular amino acid; and 'wobble' base-pairing, i.e. permitting non-standard base-pairing at the 3rd anti-codon position. Lineage: Eukaryota; Metazoa; Chordata; Actinopteri; Cypriniformes; Danionidae. The record is from RNAcentral.